GCAGAGCACUCCUACGGGAGGCAGCAGUGGGGAAUAUUGCACAAUGGGGGAAACCCUGAUGCAGCGACGCAGCGUGCGGGAUGACGGCCUUCGGGUUGUAAACCGCUUUCAGCAGGGAAGAAGCGCAAGUGACGGUACCUGCAGAAGAAGUACCGGCUAACUACGUGCCAGCAGCCGCGGUAAUACGUAGGGUACGAGCGUUGUCCGGAAUUAUUGGGCGUAAAGAGCUCGUAGGUGGUUGGUCACGUCUGCUGUGGAAACGCAACGCUUAACGUUGCGCGUGCAGUGGGUACGGGCUGACUAGAGUGCAGUAGGGGAGUCUGGAAUUCCUGGUGUAGCGGUGAAAUGCGCAGAUAUCAGGAGGAACACCGGUGGCGAAGGCGGGACUCUGGGCUGUAACUGACACUGAGGAGCGAAAGCAUGGGGAGCGAACAGGAUUAUAUACCCUGGUAG
This 453-nucleotide ribosomal RNA is filed under the name uncultured bacterium. RNAcentral describes it as "bacterial SSU rRNA". It matches the Rfam family "Bacterial small subunit ribosomal RNA", at positions 328 to 793 of the family's 1533-position model. The record is from RNAcentral.